GAGGGAAGCCAGCUGCCAGGUCAUGAGGUUACCCAAGCAGCCCUGUGGAGGCACUCUUAUGAUGAGGAACUGAGGCCUCCUGCCAACAGCCACGUGACUGAGACACCUUGGAAGCAGAUCAUCCAGCCCGCAAGCCCCCAGAUGACUGAAGCCCCAACCCCCUUGACUAUACCCACAUGAGAAAGCCUGAGCAGAACCACUUCUCUAAACUGCUUCUAAAUUCUCAACCCACAAAAACUGUGCUGGUACUGUUGGCCCAAGAACACAUUUUGAGAAGACUGGCCUAGAGGAACCAAUAAUGUGGGCUUCUUACGGGCAGGAUGGCACUGGAGAAGAGGAUUUUCUUUAAAGAAUUCCAAGAAAUACAUCUACUUUUAGUGUUAUAAAAGGGAACUAAUACUAAAUUAUCAUGAAGAGCAUAUGCCUGUGAUCUCAGCUAUUCGGGAUGCAGAGGCAGGAGGAUCACAUGAGCUCAGAAGCUCAAGCCCAGCCUGGGCAACAUAGAAAGACACAGACUAAAAAAGAAAAAAAGAAAAAAAAGGAAGAAAAAAAAAGAAGGAAAAAAAUUAGCAUGAAAAAUUCAAGGGAGACAAGACAACAGAGCCACCUUCCUAGCCAAGAAAAACCCCAGCUUGCAGUUUACUGAAUAGAAGUGUGCCACUUGACAGAGUAGUUUUAAUGACACUGAACCUUUUGUGAGUUUUGCACUUCUCUUGGCUGAAAUCUUCAAACUGGCUCAAAGAAGCUCCAGUCUCUUCAUUCUGUAAGUGUUGAUACCAUUUGCAUAACUACCUGUCAUUAUCCCCUACCAGGUGCCUCCUUUCCAACCUUUAAUGUUUCUUCUUGAUUCAUUAUAAUUAAAGAGCUAAUGUAGCCAUUCAA
Pongo pygmaeus (Bornean orangutan) is the source of this 882-nucleotide long non-coding RNA. RefSeq lists it as uncharacterized. The record is from RefSeq and is a predicted model, not a curated record. The transcript is spliced from 4 exons. Lineage: Eukaryota; Metazoa; Chordata; Mammalia; Primates; Hominidae.